GAUGAACGCUAGCGGCAGGCCUAACACAUGCGAGUCGAGGGGUAGAAGGAGCUUGCUCCUUUGAGACCGGCGCACGGGUGCGUAACGCGUAUGCAAUCUACCUUGUACAGGGGAAUAGCCCAGAGAAAUUUGGAUUAAUGCCCCAUAGUAUAUAACCUUCGCAUGUUGGUUAUAUUAAAGUUCCAACGGUACAAGAUGAGCAUGCGUCCCAUUAGUUAGUUGGUAAGGUAACGGCUUACCAAGACGAUGAUGGGUAGGGGUCCUGAGAGGGAGAUCCCCCACACUGGUACUGAGACACGGACCAGACUCCUACGGGAGGCAGCAGUGAGGAAUAUUGGUCAAUGGUCGCAAGACUGAACCAGCCAUGCCGCGUGCAGGAAGACGGUCCUAUGGAUUGUAAACUGCUUUUAGACAGGAAGAAACCCUCCCACGUGUGGGAGCUUGACGGUACUGUAGGAAUAAGGAUCGGCUAACUCCGUG
RNAcentral lists this ribosomal RNA (480 nucleotides) under uncultured bacterium. Its description in RNAcentral is "partial 16S ribosomal RNA". It matches the Rfam family "Bacterial small subunit ribosomal RNA", at positions 28 to 507 of the family's 1533-position model. The record is from RNAcentral.